AAAAAAACUAAACAACAAAGACGGAAAAACAGGCAAACAGCAGCAACCCGUUUGAGGACACAAGCUUUAUUAUUAUUAUUUUUUUUUUUUUUUGGUUUUUCCACUAAAUUUAGC
This 114-nucleotide non-coding RNA is filed under the name Ctenophora environmental sample. The record is from RNAcentral. Lineage: Eukaryota; Metazoa; Ctenophora.